This 25-nucleotide non-coding RNA is filed under the name Cricetulus griseus (Chinese hamster). Lineage: Eukaryota; Metazoa; Chordata; Mammalia; Rodentia; Cricetidae. The record is from RNAcentral.
UAGAUUUCAGGUACUGUGCAAAAUA